Molecule: small nucleolar RNA, 147 nt
Filed under: Manihot esculenta (cassava)
Lineage: Eukaryota; Viridiplantae; Streptophyta; Magnoliopsida; Malpighiales; Euphorbiaceae
Description: Small nucleolar RNA snoR2/U65
Rfam family: Small nucleolar RNA snoR2/U65
Source: Rfam by way of RNAcentral
UGUCCAAUGCCACGUCGCCGGUAGCCGAUGGGCUUUGACCGGCGAUGCUAUGAUUGGACAGAAAUCAAUUUUAUGUUUCGCUUGCUGAUAGGAACCUGUGAAUCUGAUUGCAGUUGAUUCACGGAGCCGAUUUCGGCGAUUACAUUU